Molecule: long non-coding RNA, 1041 nt
Organism: Leguminivora glycinivorella
Lineage: Eukaryota; Metazoa; Arthropoda; Insecta; Lepidoptera; Tortricidae
Exons: 6
Source: RefSeq, a predicted model, not a curated record
CAUGGAACGGAAUGUUUUUUUUUCAAAGCCGCCAUAACGCCAUUAUUUCAAUUCUUCACUUUCUUGUGAUGUUCGAUGCUUUGCUUUGCUAGAAAGAACUUUAAAAUUAUGAUGUUGAACUAUACAACGACUGUGCUUGCCCUGGACUCCGAUAAAUCUGCUUUUUUGUGAAUAUACCGGCUCUGCUCAACGGAUUUUGAUUUGCUCGUUAGAUUCGUUUGUCGUAACAAUGGUUAUAAGUGCUGUGUGUUGUGUACUUAAUUGCGGUAAAACGCGAUUAGAUAAUAUGAUUCUUCACCAAUGACCCAAUCCAAUUAUUGAGCCUGACUGGUUUCUUCUUCUAAUGGCAGUGAUGUGUUAGCAAUGGAAAACUGUGUCAUACUCACUUUAAGAAAAAAUAUAAUACUUCAAGCGGAAGGCUCCGUUUUACCCAUUUCUCUAUUGAGGUCUUGGGGUAUGGAAUUGAUAAGCAAACCACAUUGCUGCAAUUUCCAAUCAAUGUUCAAGAACCAAUGCAAGAUGAUCAAGUACCCAGAGCCCCUUUGAGGAACAUCACCAAUCAGUUCAGUACCCACAGGGCGGCUACUAAUCUCAGAUCUCAGCCGUCAGCUUCAGGAAUUGAUAAGCAAGCAAACCGCAUCGCUGCAAUUUGCUAGCAAUAUUCAAGAACCGAUGCAAGAUGAUCAAAUACCCAGAGCCCCUUUGAGGAACAUCACUGAUGUCAGUUCUCAGCCGUCAACUUCAGGUCACGCGCCACGACACACACCCCGAUUUUUCACGGAAGCUAGCAGUUUGGCCAAACAAAUAAAAAACCUUACUGAGACAAAAGAAAAAUAUUCUUUCGUUUAUUGCUCGUGUUGGUGUGGUGAAAAUUGUCGGUAGGAAACACUGCGCUUGAAAUAAUUAAGACGCAUUAGGAGAAGUAAUUCUCUAAACGCUUUCGACUAGUUCUUUCCUGGUUUUUGAAGCUAAGUAGUAUCACCACCAAUUACGUAACUAUAAAACAUAUUUUAAAAUAAAUUAUUAAAAACUAUUCCCCUG